RNAcentral lists this ribosomal RNA (406 nucleotides) under uncultured bacterium. RNAcentral's name for it is "partial 16S ribosomal RNA". It matches the Rfam family "Bacterial small subunit ribosomal RNA", at positions 30 to 526 of the family's 1533-position model. The record is from RNAcentral.
AUUGAACGCUGGCGGCAGGCCUAACACAUGCAAGUCGAACGAGUGGCGGACGGGUGAGUAAUGUCUGGGAAACUGCCUGAUGGAGGGGGAUAACUACUGGAAAAGGUAGCUAAUACCGCAUACCAUCGGAUGUGCACAGAUGGGAUUAGCUAGUCGGUGGGGUAUUGGCUCACCUAGGCGACGAUCCCUAGCUGGUCUGAGAGGUGGACCAGCCACACGUGAACUGCGACACGGUCCAGACUCCUACGGCAGGCAGCAGUGGGGAAUAGUUCACAAUGGGCGCAAGCCUGAUUCAGCCAUGCCGCGUGUAUGAAGAAGGCCUUCGGGUUGUAAAGUACUUUCAGCGGGGAGGCGUUACCCGCAGAAGAAGCACCGGCUAACUCCGUGCCAGCAGCCGCGGUAAUAC